This is a long non-coding RNA of Mugil cephalus (flathead mullet), 1132 nucleotides long. RefSeq lists it as uncharacterized. NCBI's taxonomy places the organism in Eukaryota, Metazoa, Chordata, Actinopteri, Mugiliformes, Mugilidae. The record is from RefSeq and is a predicted model, not a curated record. The transcript is spliced from 3 exons.
UGUAAGCUCACCUUUCAACUCAAUGACACAAGACCAAGUAAAUAUCACAACACCCAGUUUUAGAAAAACAAAAAUACAUUUCUCAAAAAAAACAAAACAAAAAAAAAACAGGUUCAGUUAUCAAAAAUAUUUGCCGUUUAACAAAAAUAUACCUUGUAGGUAAAAUAAAAUACUUCCCAAGUUCCAAAAACUCCUCCAGCCUAAAAACCUUUUAAAUAGCUCAAUUCAACCUUCUGGUUAACUUCUGGUUACACAACAGUACAACAACUCCACAGGGUCCACACUUCGCACACACAGCCAGCAAAAGCAAAAUAACCCCGUUGCAGGCCUUACACUGUGAUGUCGGAGUGCAAGGAAAUCCAGUUUUUAUCCAAACGAUCCACGAACAGCACAGGGAAACGUGUUAUCUCAAGUGUAGAUCAACUGCAAAAAGCGGCGAUUUACCUGGUUCAGCGCGGCGGAGCCAUAGAUGUGUGUCUACAGGCCGAUGGAGUCUCUCUCAGGCCGCGACAACGUCCCGACGAUAGUGAGUCACACACACUGGCAGCGAUCCGAAUGACUCUUCACAGCCACGCGUUGAAGCAAUAAGGCUACACGGACACCAAUCCCACUCAAGAUGAGAACCACCAUUGUUCUUUACAAACUGGCCAGUCUACUGUUUCUGUGAAGGAAUGGUGUUCUCAGUUGGGCACAACCUCAUAAAAGAGCCAACUGUGGAAGAAGCUUGUGCCUUUGCAAGCCGGUUCCAGCAGAAGUUCAGCAUGCCAGAAGUCACGGGGUGCAUCGAUGGAACCCACAACGCGAAUGUACUACGCCAGUCAGCGUUAUUAGGCCAGGCACAUGAACUGUUGAACGGAGCCACAGGACAUAAAUGGCACUUUAGGCAGGCUCUUUCUUCUUGGAGACCCAGCCUACCAUCUCAUGGACUGACUCAUCAAAGGAUACACCCAUUCAUCCAGUCUGAUCGACAACAAGAGUCAUUUAAUGUCUGUCUGAGCUCUGCAAGGACCACGGUGGAAAAAGCCUUCGGAAAACUAAAGUCAUGCUGGAGAGUCCUACUCAAAAGAACUUCCACUACACAUUCUCAGUCUUCAACACAACCUACCAGCCGGCGGCUAUGGCUCAGUAGGUA